This 763-nucleotide long non-coding RNA is filed under the name Strix occidentalis caurina (northern spotted owl). RNAcentral describes it as "lncRNA (ENSSOCG00000003367.1)". The record is from RNAcentral. Lineage: Eukaryota; Metazoa; Chordata; Aves; Strigiformes; Strigidae.
AAAAUAAAUGUUUCUCUCCUGGUUUGGCAGCUUAUGCUUUAAGUGCACUCAUCUGAGAAGACAACGGAAAUAGAAAAAAAAUGUAUGAGAAUAAUUGCAUAUCCUUAUGACUUAACAUGAGUUUAUUAUAUUGUUUUUCUUUGUUUAGGCCUUUUUUUCACAUGAAGGCAGCCUGAGGGAACUUAGCAAGUCAUUAGAAGACCUUAAAAUAUUGGGAAGACUAUCAGAAGAAACUGUCCCAGACAUACAGACACUGAUUACAGACUGUGAAAAAAAGCUUGAAAAGAUUCAACAAAUUGUGGCAGAUACUUACACGGCCCUGCUGUCUCAUGCUGGAGAAGGACAGUCAUCUAAGAAAGAAAACUCCAUUGUUGCUUCUGAGAAUGGAGAAAAGCCUGGUCCUUCUCAACAAAUUGAUAUCCUUUCAGUACAGGAGACCUCAAGAUCUGCUGCAGAUAUAGUUUUGGAACCAGAUGUGAAACAUCACAAUGGAGAAAGCUGUGCAAAGAAAUUAGAGGAAGACAAUGAUUUGCCCAUACCAGCUUUAUUAGAGAGGUAAUUUUUAAAGGAUAAAAUGCAUGUAUAUUAAGAGAUGAUACUAUGCUAGACAUUUGUAAAUUAAUUGAAUGUAUCAAACAUAGGGUGCACUUUUGCUAUGCAGAACUCUGUUCCUGUUCUACUAGAGUUUACUCAAUAUUGCUCUACAAUUGAUAAGGAAGCACUAUAGUAGCUAAAUGCUUCAAACAUUAGGAUUUUGUAGCAA